AUUGAACGCUGGCGGCAUGCCUUACACAUGCAAGUCGAACGGUAACAGGUCUUCGGAUGCUGACGAGUGGCGAACGGGUGAGUAAUACAUCGGAACGUGCCCGAUCGUGGGGGAUAACGAGGCGAAAGCUUUGCUAAUACCGCAUACGAUCUACGGAUGAAAGCGGGGGAUCUUCGGACCUCGCGCGGACGGAGCGGCCGAUGGCAGAUUAGGUAGUUGGUGGGAUAAAAGCUUAUCAAGCCGACGAUCUGUAGCUGGUCUGAGAGGAUUAUCAGCCACACUGGGACUGAGACACGGCCCAGACUCCUACGGGAGGCAGCAGUGGGGAAUUUUGGACAAUGGGCGAAAGCCUGAUCCAGCCAUGCCGCGUGCAGGAUGAAGGCCUUCGGGUUGUAAACUGCUUUUGUACGGAACGAAAAGCCUCUUUCUAAUAAAGAGGGGUCAUGACGGUACCGUAAGAAUAAGCACCGGCUAACUACGUG
RNAcentral lists this ribosomal RNA (482 nucleotides) under uncultured bacterium. RNAcentral describes it as "partial 16S ribosomal RNA". It matches the Rfam family "Bacterial small subunit ribosomal RNA", at positions 30 to 507 of the family's 1533-position model. The record is from RNAcentral.